RNAcentral lists this ribosomal RNA (365 nucleotides) under Bacillus sp. R-30924. RNAcentral's name for it is "bacterial SSU rRNA". It matches the Rfam family "Bacterial small subunit ribosomal RNA", at positions 33 to 387 of the family's 1533-position model. The record is from RNAcentral. Lineage: Bacteria; Bacillati; Bacillota; Bacilli; Caryophanales; Bacillaceae.
ACGCUGGCGGCGUGCCUAAUACAUGCAAGUCGAGCGGACAGAUGGGAGCUUGCUCCCUGAUGUUAGCGGCGGACGGGUGAGUAACACGUGGGUAACCUGCCUGUAAGACUGGGAUAACUCCGGGAAACCGGGGCUAAUACCGGAUGCUURAUUGAACCGCAUGGUUCAAUUAUAAAAGGUGGCUUUUAGCUACCACUUACAGAUGGACCCGCGGCGCAUUAGCUAGUUGGUGAGGUAACGGCUCACCAAGGCRACGAUGCGUAGCCGACCUGAGAGGGUGAUCGGCCACACUGGGACUGAGACACGGCCCAGACUCCUACGGGAGGCAGCAGUAGGGAAUCUUCCGCAAUGGACGAAAGUCUGAC